UACGUAGGGUGCUAGCGUUGUCCGGAUUUAUUGGGCGUAAAGAGCUCGUAGGUGGUCUGUUGCGUCCGCUGUGAAAACCCAGGGCUUAACCCUGGGCUGGCAGUGGAUACGGGCAGACUAGAGGUAGGUAGGGGAGAAUGGAAUUCCCGGUGUAGCGGUGAAAUGCGCAGAUAUCGGGAGGAACACCGGUGGCGAAGGCGGUUCUCUGGGCCUUACCUGACACUGAGGAGCGAAAGCGUGGGGAGCGAACAGG
This 253-nucleotide ribosomal RNA is filed under the name uncultured bacterium. RNAcentral describes it as "partial 16S ribosomal RNA". It matches the Rfam family "Bacterial small subunit ribosomal RNA", at positions 524 to 776 of the family's 1533-position model. The record is from RNAcentral.